UUGGGCGUAAGAGCUCGUAGGCGGUUUGUCGCGUCUGCUGUGAAAACUCGAGGCUCAACCUCGGGCUUGCAGUGGGUACGGGCAGACUAGAGUGCGGUAGGGGAGACUGGAAUUCCUGGUGUAGCGGUGGAAUGCGCAGAUAUCAGGAGGAACACCGAUGGCGAAGGCAGGUCUCUGGGCCGCAACUGACGCUGAGGAGCGAAAGCAUGGGGAGCGAACAGGAUUAGAUACCCUGGUAGUCCAUGCCGUAAACGUUGGGCACUAGGUGUGGGGCUCAUUCCACGAGUUCCGUGCCGCAGCAAACGCAUUAAGUGCCCCGCCUGGGGAGUACGGCCGCAAGGCUAAAACUCAAAGAAAUUGACGGGGGCCCGCACAAGCGGCGGAGCAUGCGGAUUAAUUCGAUGCAACGCGAAGAACCUUACCAAGGCUUGACAUACACCGGAAACUUCCAGAGAUGGUUGCCCCGCAAGGUCGGUGUACAGGUGGUGCAUGGUUGUCGUCAGCUCGUGUCGUGAGAUGUUGGGUUAAGUCCCGCAACGAGCGCAACCCUCGUCCUAUGUUGCCAGCACGUGAUGGUGGGGACUCAUAGGAGACUGCCGGGGUCAACUCGGAGGAAGGUGGGGAUGACGUCAAAUCAUCAUGCCCCUUAUGUCUUGGGCUUCACGCAUGCUACAAUGGCCGGUACAAAGGGCUGCGAUACCGCGAGGUGGAGCGAAUCCCAAAAAGCCGGUCUCAGUUCGGAUUGGGGUCUGCAACUCGACCCCAUGAAGUCGGAGUCGCUAGUAAUCGCAGAUCAGCAACGCUGCGGUGAAUACGUUCCCGGGCCUUGUACACACCGCCCGUCAAGUCACGAAAGUCGGUAACACCC
This 868-nucleotide ribosomal RNA is filed under the name Cellulomonas sp. 2BCU-S9. RNAcentral describes it as "bacterial SSU rRNA". It matches the Rfam family "Bacterial small subunit ribosomal RNA", at positions 554 to 1422 of the family's 1533-position model. Lineage: Bacteria; Bacillati; Actinomycetota; Actinomycetes; Micrococcales; Cellulomonadaceae. The record is from RNAcentral.